RNAcentral lists this small RNA (74 nucleotides) under Belnapia rosea. RNAcentral describes it as "suhB". It matches the Rfam family "Makes More Granules Regulator RNA (mmgR)". From Rfam's summary of the family: SuhB later renamed mmgR (makes more granules regulator) was a putative non-coding RNA found multiple times in the Agrobacterium tumefaciens genome and related alpha-proteobacteria. Other non-coding RNAs uncovered in the same analysis include: speF, ybhL, metA, and serC. Lineage: Bacteria; Pseudomonadati; Pseudomonadota; Alphaproteobacteria; Acetobacterales; Roseomonadaceae. The record is from RNAcentral.
GGUUGUUGUCUUUCUUGGACGUUUCCUCCCUAAACUCGGCGGUGGCGCAAGCCACUGCCCUUUUUUUGUCUGAA